CUGGCGGUAUGCUUAACACAUGCAAGUCGAACGAAAGUUUUUUAAACUUUAGUGGCGAACGGGUGCGUAAUACGUGAGAAUCUGCCCUUAGGAGGGGAAUAACUUCUGGAAACGGUUGCUAAGUCCCCAUAUGCCGAGAGGUGAAAUAGUUAACACUGCCUAGGGAUGAGCUCACGCCUGAUUAGCUUGUUGGUGAGGUAAUGGCUUACCAAGGCCACGAUCAGUAGCUGGUUUGAGAGAACGAUCAGCCACACUGGGACUGAGACACGGCCCAGACUCCUCCGGGAGGCAGCAGUGAGGAAUUUUCCGCAAUGGGCGAAAGCCUGUCGGAGCAAUACCGCGUGAGGGAUGAAGGAUUUUGGUCUGUAAACCUCUUUUCUCAAGAAAGAAGUUCUGACGGUACUUGAGGAAUAAGCAUCGGCUAACUCCGUGCCAGCAGCCGCGGUAAUACGGGGGAUGCAAGCGUUAUCCGGAAUCAUUGGGCGUAAAGCGCCUGUAGGUUGUUUAAUAAGUCUGUUGUUAAAGACUAGGGCUUAACCCUAGGAAAGCAAUGGAAACUAC
RNAcentral lists this ribosomal RNA (561 nucleotides) under uncultured bacterium. RNAcentral's name for it is "bacterial SSU rRNA". It matches the Rfam family "Bacterial small subunit ribosomal RNA", at positions 36 to 636 of the family's 1533-position model. The record is from RNAcentral.